This is a long non-coding RNA of Mercenaria mercenaria, 4216 nucleotides long. RefSeq lists it as uncharacterized. NCBI's taxonomy places the organism in Eukaryota, Metazoa, Mollusca, Bivalvia, Venerida, Veneridae. The record is from RefSeq and is a predicted model, not a curated record. The transcript is spliced from 2 exons.
AUGUGUUUUUAAUGAUUACCAUUCAAAACCGGUUACUGAAGGAGCUCCGAUCCUGUUGUAAGGGCCUGCUUUAGCUAAUGUCUUGUUGGUAUAUUAAUAUACUUGUUGCGAUUUAAUCUCCUUUUGGGUCAUUUCAGUUCUGCACAUGGAAGAAGAAGGUCGUUUGCAAAUAAAUGCCAGGGUUGUUUUUGCUUCUAAUCGAAGGAAUCCUCGAUUGUUUAUACUUGCUGAUGUUUAAUAUAUCAUGAUAAAUGGACGUAAUUAAUCUAUGCGCAUUUAGAUAUUGUGAUGGAAUACCUGUAUAGUAUUUUUAGAUUUUUGUUAAUUGAAUUAUCAGUUAUGCAGUUUAUUUAUAUAGCAGGGAGGUAGGCAGAUAUAAAUUUGCUUACUUUUGAUAUAGUUUGUAUUUAUUGUACAGAUAUAUCUGUGUAAUUACCGAAUGACUUAAUCAUUAAAUUGAUUAAUAGCUUUUCUGUUAUACUUUGCAGUUAUCAUAAUGACUAUUUGUUGUGUGAUCUGCUACAGUUUAAUCCUGGAGUAUUGAGGUGCUUAUUUGUGAAUUACUGGAAGGUAUACAUUUAAACGAGAGGUAAAAGAGCAAGUCGAUAUUCGAAGGUAAUAUGAAUUAUUAAACUGGUAAUAUGUCUUGCAAAUUUCUGCAGGAUUAUGUGGUUUCCCAGCGAGUUUUGAUAACAGUGCAUUCCUUUGUAAUGCAGGGUUAAAAAUAGAUGUGUGUAAACAUCCAUGAUAGCAGUGUAGCAGACGAUUUCUGUAUACAUACAAAGCGGCGAGUUGUUGAUGUAGUCUGUUACACUAUAUACAUAAUAUGUAGUAUAAACACGUGGAAGUGGCUAUUACUCAUGAUACCUGCUUACAAACAGAGGGUUUAAGCAACUUUAUCAGACUUUAUCUCGCUGAAAAGCAUUUUCUUAUAAAAUGAAGUAAUUAUAUUUCCAUUUCACAUAUAUUUAACAAGUCGGCAAAGUUAAAUUUUCUUGAAAACGGAUCAUGUAAUUAAGUGCGCAUGUGGGAGUUAACUAAGUAGGUUCGUUUUUCAAUAUACCGCCGUUCUUGAAGUAUGUUUGUUUUCACUCCUGUUGGCUUAUGUAUAUGGUUUGUAAAUAUAGAAUAAUAUUGCUAAUAAAACAAUCGAAUGUUUGAAUAAAUAUAAAGCAAGUUGUCAUUUGUAGAAGGAUGAUUGUUUUCAGUUCAUAAUCUGUUGUUAGCCCAAUUGGUAAUGUCUGAUUGUAUCAGCCCGUAUUGGCUUAGAAAAAAGGGUGCCAUCAUUAUCUAUUGUAGUGGAUGGUAUUUGGAUUUUGAAUUUAUGAUUACUGCUUAAUGCUGAACUGUUUUUAGCCCAUUUGGCUAUGUGUGGUCGUUUCUAAUAACUGAAAAAGAAAGUUAAGAAAGUUGCUAUUAUAUUCAUUGUGUUGGAUGGUAACUUGAUUUUUGAAUUAAGUUUAAUGUAUAUUGACUGUUUUUCGCCCAUUUGGCUAUGUUUGAUCAUUUAAAAAAAAAAAAAAAAAAAAAAUGGUUGCCGAUUAUAUCCCUUGUGUUGGAUGGUAAGCUGAUUUUGAAUUUAUGAUUAAUGUAUAUUGAUGAACUGUGUUUAGCCCAUUUGGCUAUGUUCGAUCAUUUCAAAAAAUAAAUGGAUAAAUAAAUAAAUAAUAGGUUGCCAAUUAUAUCCAUUGUGUUGGAUGGUAACCAGAUUUUGAAUUUAUGAUUAUUGUACAUUGAUGAUCUGUGUUUAGGCCCAUUUUGCUAUGUUCGAUCAUUUCAAAAAAAAAAAAAAAAAAUAGGUUGCCAAUUAUCUCCAUUGUGUUGGAUAGUAACCAGAUUUUGAAUUUAUGAUUGUUGUAACCAGAUUUUGAAUUUAUGAUUGUUGUACAUUGAUGAACUGUGUCAGCCCAUUUGGCUGUGUUCGAUCUUUCAAAAAAAAAAAAAAAAAGAUAGGUUGCCGAUUGUAUCCAUUGUGUUGGAUAGUAACCAGAUUUUGAAUUUAUGAUUAUUGUACAUUGAUGAACUGUGUUUAGCCCAUUUGGCUAUGUUCGGUGAUUUAAAAAAAAAAAAAAAAAAAAAAAAAAAAAAAAAAAAAAAGAAAAAACAACAACAGGUUGCCCAUUAUAUCCAUUGUGUUGGAUGGUAACCAGAUUUUGAAUUUAUUAUUAUUGUACAUUCAUGAACUGUGUCAGCCCAUUUGGCUAUGUUCGAUCUUUCAAAAAAAAAAAAAAAAAAAAAAAAAAAAAAAAAAAAAAAAAAAAAAAAAGGAAAAAGGUUGCCGAUUAUAUCCAUUGUGUUGGAUGGUAACCAGCAGAUUUUGAAUUUAUGAUUAUUGUACAUUGAUGGACUGUGUUUCGCCCAUUUUGGCUAUGUUUAAUCAUUUCAAAAACAAAAUAAUAGGUUGCCGAUUAUAUCCAUUGUGUUGGAUGGUAACCGGAAUUUGAAUUUAUAAUUAAUGUAUAUUGAUGAAUUGUGUUUAGCCAAUUUGGCUAUGUUCGAUCAUUAAAAAAAAAAAAAAUAUUUGGUUGCCCAUUAUAUCCAUUGUGUUGGAUGGUAACUAGAUUUUGAAUUUAUGAUUAUUGUACAUUGAUGAACUGUGUUUAACCCAUUUGGCUAUGUUCGAUCAUUUAAAAAAAAAAUAAAUAAAUAAAAAAAAAAAAAAAAAUAAAAAAGAAGAAAAUAAAAUUAAUAGGUUACCGAUUAUAUCCAUUGUGCUGGAUAGUAACCUGAUUUUGAAUUUAUGAUUAAUGUAUAUUGAUGAACUAAGUUUCGCCCAUUUGGCUAUGUUCGUUCAUUAAAAAAAAAAAAAAAUGAUAAUAAAAAAAAAAAUAAAAAAAUUAUGAUGUCGAUUAUAUCAUUGUGUUAGAUGGUAACCGGAUUUUGAAUUUAUGAUUAAUGUAUAUUGAUGAACUGUGUUUCGCCCAUUUUGGCUAUGUUUGAUUACUUAAAAGAAAAAAAUGUUGCUGAAUAUAUCCAUUGUGUUGGAUGGUAUCCAGAUUUUGAAUUUAUGAUGAAUGUAUAUUGAUGAACUGUGUUUCGCCCAUUUGGCUAUGAUUGUUCAUUUAAAAAAAUAAAAUAAAAUAAAACAGGAUGCCGAUUUCAUCCAUUAUGUUGGAUGGUCACCGGAUUUUGAAUUUAUAAUUAAUGUAUAUUGAUGAACUGUGUUUGCCCAUUUGGCUGUGUUCUAUCAUAAAACAGAGUUGCUCAUUAUAUUCAUUGUGUUGGAUGGUAAUUAGAUAUUGAAUUCAUGCCUGAUGGAUAUUGAUGAACUUAUUUUAGCCCAUUUGUUAAAUGAUGGACCAUUUCAGCCUUAUUGAUUGAUUGCCUGCUAUAGAUAUUGUGUAUGCUGGUGACAUAAUUUCGAAUUGAUGUGCUGCCAAAUUGCAAGUUUGUCAUAUUUUCCUGUCUAUCGGAAAGUUUGUUUCGGGCUAGUGACAAUUAACAUAUUUUAUGCAACUUUAUGUCAAAUUGUCAUGUUAAUAAUUUAAUAUUUCUAGAUAAUGUCACGAUCAACACAUCAAAAACCCAAGGAGUUCCGCAACACAGUCCUAGUGAUACAGCCACACCGCAACGUUUCAGCCCCGCAACUGAUGAAUCUGAACCCGCAGCAACUUGGGGUUGUGGUGAGCCUUAAUUAUUGUUACAGAACACCAUUGUCCCGUGUUUGCGCCGUGACGGAGCAUUUUGGCUGAUGAUUCGCUGCACUGUCAGACAGCGUUGAACAAAAUGGUACAUCUUAUGUGUUCAAGUCCAGCCUACCCCUUCCUUGCCUUCAGUCGUUACAGCUUCAUAUGGAAUAUUGGCAGUGUCAUGUCACUUGUUGAUUUAUGGACACAACAGUGUUUGUUUCCAGAACUGUGAAAUGUGUAUGUGGCAUAUAUAAACGUUUAAAGUAGUCACUUAUUCUGUAUGUCUGUUUUUAUAUACCUGAUCUCCGUUGAAUUCUGAUCCCAGGUUCGGCGGUUAGGUCAGCCUCCACCAGUAUAUCUUAACGUUGUGUAAUAAGAAGUUUGUUUGUUUCAAGUAUACUGUAUAAGGACUCUGUUCCCAGGGCCUCGACAUCUGCAUUUCAACCAUAUACUUUAUAUCAUAUGUAUUUGUAUAUUGACAUUUAUGUGAAGCUGUGACCAAUUUCUGCCAAACAUUAAUCAAAACCAAAUUAGUUAUUAAUUGCUAUAGUAAAAUUGUUAAUAGUAAAAGUAAUGUAUUCAUACAA